GGGGCUAUCGUCUAGCUUGGCAGGAUACCAUCCAAUUUUGGGUAUAAGCCCGGGGCGCUGGCGGUCGAGGGUUCGAAUCCCUCUGGCCCCA
This 91-nucleotide transfer RNA is filed under the name Candidatus Nitrosocosmicus franklandianus. RNAcentral's name for it is "Candidatus Nitrosocosmicus franklandus tRNA". It matches the Rfam family "tRNA". Rfam says of the family: Transfer RNA (tRNA) molecules are approximately 80 nucleotides in length. Their secondary structure includes four short double-helical elements and three loops (D, anti-codon, and T loops). RNAcentral also lists the same sequence under 1 other name. Lineage: Archaea; Thermoproteati; Nitrososphaerota; Nitrososphaeria; Nitrososphaerales; Nitrososphaeraceae. The record is from Rfam by way of RNAcentral.